Molecule: long non-coding RNA, 464 nt
Filed under: Nicotiana benthamiana
Lineage: Eukaryota; Viridiplantae; Streptophyta; Magnoliopsida; Solanales; Solanaceae
Description: long non-coding RNA (NBEN_LNC029951)
Source: RNAcentral
CACUGAGCAUUGUUCAACCAUGCAUUGACGAAAGGAUGACCUGCAGCUACAUGACACCACCAAGUUGGUCCAACCGGGCGUUCCCAGUAUGGAGCUGCAACAUCUGCUACAGUGACAUCAUCUUCCUCAUCGGUAAGCUCAAGAGGCUGAGAGCCCCAAUCAGUAUCAACAUGCACUGUCUGAAGCAGCUCAGAUAUUCUAGCCCAGCCUAUUGGUAUCCAGUAAUUACCAGAAGAUCUUUCUCGGGGAUUGUAAGGAGAGCUCAACAGGCUGAGAGCCCCAAUCAGUAUCAACAUGCACUGUCUGAAGUAGCUCAGAUAUUCUAGCCCAGCCUAUGGUAUCCAGUAAUUACCAGAAGACCUUUCUCGGGGAUUAUAAGGAUACUCUUGUUGAUAACCUUGGACAUGCGGGUUCUCAAUUAUCAACAUAUCCAGACUCUGUAUAAUAAGGUUCUAUAAACUGAU